Long non-coding RNA from Lathyrus oleraceus (garden pea), 1105 nucleotides. RefSeq lists it as uncharacterized. The record is from RefSeq and is a predicted model, not a curated record. NCBI's taxonomy places the organism in Eukaryota, Viridiplantae, Streptophyta, Magnoliopsida, Fabales, Fabaceae. The transcript has 3 exons.
GCCCAAGCCGAGUCCAAUGCACAACACACAAAAAUCUAUCAGCAUGAAACAAAGGACUAAACGCUCCUGCAGCAAAAGGUUGAAAGCGCUUCUCAAACAAUCCCGAGUCAGUAUCGCGUUUCGGCGUCCCACACCCAACAUCACGUCUCAGCAUUCCACAUCCAACAUCACGUUCAUCGCUCCACAAGCUCAUGGUUUCGCGUUCAUGAUCCGACCUUAUCGCAUUUUCCGCCAUUACUGUCACAAACUCAUUGAUCUAAAGCUUCCUCCAUCGUGGAUUCAAUCAACCACAAAAAUAAUUGUGCCUAACCCCAACAAAUUGGAUCAAAACUGAAAUAAAAAUUUACACCACAAAGAUCGAGAUAAAAACGAAUGGAAGUAAGAGGAACUCACCGGAUUUUACACGGCGACAAAAAAAUCAGGGCAAAGCCGAGGGUAAUGAUGAUGCAGAGCGGCCAAAUUUAUGCAGAAUCGAGCUUUAUGCAGGAUGAAGAGAGUUCCUGCAGAAUGAAAGGCUUUUUGCAGAACAAAGAGAAUGGAUGAUGCAGGAUGGAAUGGCUUCGUGCAGAAUCAAGAAAUUUCAAAAUGAAGAAGUUGCAGAAAAUGUGAAGAUUGCAGGUUGAAGAAGAAAUGAGUGCAGAAAGAAGAAGAAAUGAAGAUCUCAGAUUGAAGAAUGGAAAGGUUGAUAUCAAAGUUAAAAGAUUAAGCAAAUGGUGGAAAUCUGUGAAACUCUUGAUGGUAAGAAGGGAGGCAUUUUUGCUGCUGCUGCUGAUAUCUGCAUGAAGCUUUAUCACAUGAAUGAUCGAUUGACAUUUCAACUGCAGAACAAACAACCGGAACCUCUUUUGAGUUGUCGAGGCCCCUUAAAAACUCAACCCAGUUAGGUACUAACCCAAGCUCGACAGCAGUACAUGUGAUAUUACUAAACAAUGGUAAUGGUUAGAUGUGUUACGGUGGAACAAGAAGAACCCAAAAAAAAUGGGGACGGGCUUAUUAGAAAACAACGUUUGACUUUAGUCAACCUUGCUAACUACAUUCUAUGUAAUUUGUGUAUGUACCGUGCAACUUGAUACUUAAAUGUAAUGAAAAGUUUGUUCGUAAAAUA